ACUACCUGACGCCGUUGACUUUUUAUUCAACGUUUGACCAUUCGUCUUAUUCAAAAAAUUUAUGUAAUUAUUAUUUAUUUUAUGGUGACUUGAUGCAUCAUCAAAUGUUCUUUAAGUAUGAUAUAAAUAUUUUUAUAUUUGCACAAAAAUUUUGAAUAAAACGAAUGGUCAAACAUUGGUCAAAAAGUCAACGGCGUCAUACAUU
Oryza rufipogon (brownbeard rice) is the source of this 205-nucleotide microRNA precursor. It matches the Rfam family "MIR812 microRNA precursor family". NCBI's taxonomy places the organism in Eukaryota, Viridiplantae, Streptophyta, Magnoliopsida, Poales, Poaceae. The record is from Rfam.